RNAcentral lists this ribosomal RNA (637 nucleotides) under Flavobacterium sp. Ri1Ps_4610. RNAcentral describes it as "bacterial SSU rRNA". It matches the Rfam family "Bacterial small subunit ribosomal RNA", at positions 378 to 1015 of the family's 1533-position model. Lineage: Bacteria; Pseudomonadati; Bacteroidota; Flavobacteriia; Flavobacteriales; Flavobacteriaceae. The record is from RNAcentral.
GCAGCCUGACCAGCCAUGCCGCGUGCAGGAUGAAGCAUCUAUGGUGUGUAAACUGCUUUUAUACGAGAAGAAACACUGCUUCGUGAAGCAGCUUGACGGUAUCGUAAGAAUAAGGACCGGCUAACUCCGUGCCAGCAGCCGCGGUAAUACGGAGGGUCCAAGCGUUAUCCGGAAUCAUUGGGUUUAAAGGGUCCGUAGGCGGGUCUGUAAGUCAGUGGUGAAAUCUCCCGGCUCAACCGGGAAAUUGCCAUUGAUACUGCAGGUCUUGAAUUACUAGGAAGUAACUAGAAUAUGUAGUGUAGCGGUGAAAUGCUUAGAGAUUACAUGGAAUACCAAUUGCGAAGGCAGGUUACUACUAGUGGAUUGACGCUGAUGGACGAAAGCGUGGGUAGCGAACAGGAUUAGAUACCCUGGUAGUCCACGCCGUAAACGAUGGAUACUAGCUGUUGGGUUGCAAGACUCAGUGGCUAAGCGAAAGUGAUAAGUAUCCCACCUGGGGAGUACGAACGCAAGUUUGAAACUCAAAGGAAUUGACGGGGGCCCGCACAAGCGGUGGAGCAUGUGGUUUAAUUCGAUGAUACGCGAGGAACCUUACCAAGGCUUAAAUGUAGAUUGACAGGACUGGAAACAGUUUUUU